Molecule: ribosomal RNA, 2043 nt
Filed under: human gut metagenome
Description: bacterial LSU rRNA
Rfam family: Bacterial large subunit ribosomal RNA
Source: RNAcentral
UCCGAGGGUGUCCGAAUGGGGGAACCUAACCUGGGUUGUGCUGGGUUACCAUCAUCUGAACGUGUAUAGGGUGGUGGGGGGAACGCGGGGAAGUGAAACAUCUUAGUACCCGUAGGAGAAGAUAUUCCGUGAGUAGUGGCGAGCGAAAGCGGAUGAUGGUGAAACCGUGUGCGUGUGAUACUCGGCAGGGGUUGCGUGUGCGGGGUUGUGGGGCUGUCCUGUUUCUCUUCUGCCGGAGAGGGGGCGCGUGUGCUGAUCUGUAGCUGAAUCGUCUGGGAAGGCGUGGCGUAGUGGGUGAUACCCCCGUAGGCGGAACUGGUUGGUGCGUGUCUGGGAUGGUGCCCGAGUAGCACGGGGCUCGUGGAAUCUCGUGUGAAUCUGCCAGGACCACCUGGUAAGUCUAAAUACUUCUUAAUGACCGAUAGUGAAUCAGUACCGUGAGGGAAUGGUGAAAAGUACCCCGGGAGGGGAGUGAAAUAGUACCUGAAACCGUGUGCUUACAAGCCGUUGGAGCCUUUUGGGGUGACAGCGUGCCUUUUGAAGAAUGAGCCUGCGAGUUAGUGUUAUGUCGCGAGGUUAACCCGUGUGGGGUAUCCGUAGCGAAAGCGAGUCUGAAUAGGGCGUUUGAGUGGCAUGACCUAGACCCGAAGCGGAGUGAUCUAUCCAUGGCCAGGUUGAAGCACGUGUAAGAGCGUGUGGAGGACCGAACCCACCUAGGUUGAAAACUGGGGGGAUGAGCUGUGGAUAGGGGUGAAAGGCCAAUCAAACUCUGUGAUAGCUGGUUCUCCCCGAAAUGCAUUUAGGUGCAGCGUUACGUGUUUCUUGCCGGAGGUAGAGCUACUGGAUGGCCGAUGGGCCUUCACGGGUUACUGACGUCAGCUAAACUCCGAAUGCCGGUAAGUGAGAGCGUAGCAGUGAGACAGUGGGGGAUAAGCUUCAUUGUCGAGAGGGAAACAGCCCAGACCACCAACUAAGGCCCCUAAGCGUGUGCUAAGUGGGAAAGGAUGUGGAGUUGCUGAGACAACCAGGAGGUUGGCUUAGAAGCAGCCAUCCUUGAAAGAGUGCGUAAUAGCUCACUGGUCAAGUGAUUCUGCGCCGAUAAUGUAGCGGGGCUCAAGUACACCGCCGAAGUUGUGGCAAUGAUCUUUUUGGAUUGUUGGGUAGGGGAGCGUCGUGUAGCCAGUGAAGCUGCGGUGUAAACCAGUGGUGGAGGCUAUGCGAGUGAGAAUGCAGGCAUGAGUAGCGAAAGAUGAGUGAGAAACUCAUCCGCCGGAUGAUCAAGGGUUCCAGGGUCAAGUUAAUCUGCCCUGGGUUAGUCGGGGCCUAAGGCGAGGCCGACAGGCGUAGUCGAUGGAUAACGGGUUGAUAUUCCCGUACCGGUGAAAAACCGCCCAUACUGAUAUUGUGAUGCUAACCAUGCGAAGCAUGAUGUGCAGGCUUUUGUUUGUGUGUUGUGUGGGUUGUGGGACCCGAUCUUUGGAGGUAAACGUGUUAACAGGUGUGACGCAGGAAGGUAGCCAAGCCACGCGAUGGUUGUCGUGGUCUAAGCGUGUAGGGUUGUCGGUUGUUAAAUGCGCCGGCUGUGUGCCUGAGACGUGAUGGGACCCCGUUUUUGGGGGAUUUGGUGAUCCUAUGCUGCCGAGAAAAGCAUCGGCGUGAGGUUUUAGCCGCCCGUACCCUAAACCGACACAGGUGAUCAGGUAGAGAAUACUAAGGCGAUCGAGAGAAUCAUGGUUAAGGAACUCGGCAAAAUGCCCCCGUAACUUCGGGAGAAGGGGGGCCCGAACCCUGAGGCCCCGUGCGGGCUAGGGGGGUGGGUCGCAGAGACCAGGGGGAAGCGACUGUUUACUAAAAACACAGGUCCGUGCGAAGCCGUAAGGCGAUGUAUACGGACUGACGCCUGCCCGGUGCUGGAAGGUUAAGAGGAACCAUCAACCCCCUCGUGGGGUGAAGUGGUGAAUUUAAGCCCCAGUAAACGGCGGUGGUAACUAUAACCAUCCUAAGGUAGCGAAAUUCCUUGUCGGGUAAGUUCCGACCUGCACG